This 917-nucleotide ribosomal RNA is filed under the name Bacillus sp. (in: firmicutes). RNAcentral describes it as "bacterial SSU rRNA". It matches the Rfam family "Bacterial small subunit ribosomal RNA", at positions 59 to 953 of the family's 1533-position model. The record is from RNAcentral. Lineage: Bacteria; Bacillati; Bacillota; Bacilli; Caryophanales; Bacillaceae.
CAGUCGAGCGGACAGAAGGGAGCUUGCUCCCGGAUGUUAGCGGCGGACGGGUGAGUAACACGUGGGUAACCUGCCUGUAAGACUGGGAUAACUCCGGGAAACCGGAGCUAAUACCGGAUAGUUCCUUGAACCGCAUGGUUCAAGGAUGAAAGACGGUUUCGGCUGUCACUUACAGAUGGACCCGCGGCGCAUUAGCUAGUUGGUGAGGUAACGGCUCACCAAGGCGACGAUGCGUAGCCGACCUGAGAGGGUGAUCGGCCACACUGGGACUGAGACACGGCCCAGACUCCUACGGGAGGCAGCAGUAGGGAAUCUUCCGCAAUGGACGAAAGUCUGACGGAGCAACGCCGCGUGAGUGAUGAAGGUUUUCGGAUCGUAAAGCUCUGUUGUUAGGGAAGAACAAGUGCAAGAGUAACUGCUUGCACCUUGACGGUACCUAACCAGAAAGCCACGGCUAACUACGUGCCAGCAGCCGCGGUAAUACGUAGGUGGCAAGCGUUGUCCGGAAUUAUUGGGCGUAAAGGGCUCGCAGGCGGUUUCUUAAGUCUGAUGUGAAAGCCCCCGGCUCAACCGGGGAGGGUCAUUGGAAACUGGGAAACUUGAGUGCAGAAGAGGAGAGUGGAAUUCCACGUGUAGCGGUGAAAUGCGUAGAGAUGUGGAGGAACACCAGUGGCGAAGGCGACUCUCUGGUCUGUAACUGACGCUGAGGAGCGAAAAGCGUGGGGAGCGAACAGGAUUAGAUACCCUGGUAGUCCACGCCGUAAACGAUGAGUGCUAAGUGUUAGGGGGUUUCCGCCCCUUAGUGCUGCAGCUAACGCAUUAAGCACUCCGCCUGGGGGAGUACGGUCGCAAGACUGAAACUCAAAAGGAAUUUGACGGGGGGCCCGCACAAGCGGUGGAGCAUGUGGUUUAAUUUC